This 402-nucleotide ribosomal RNA is filed under the name uncultured prokaryote. RNAcentral describes it as "bacterial SSU rRNA". It matches the Rfam family "Bacterial small subunit ribosomal RNA", at positions 355 to 774 of the family's 1533-position model. The record is from RNAcentral.
UGGGGAAUAUUGCACAAUGGACGCAAGUCUGAUGCAGCAACGCCGCGUGGAGGAUGACACAUUUCGGUGCGUAAACUCCUUUUAUAUAGGAAGAUAAUGACGGUACUAUAUGAAUAAGCACCGGCUAACUCCGUGCCAGCAGCCGCGGUAAUACGGAGGGUGCAAGCGUUACUCGGAAUCACUGGGCGUAAAGAGCGUGUAGGCGGGUAUAUACGUCAGAAGUGAAAUCCAAUAGCUUAACUAGUGAACUGCUUUUGAAACUGUGUACCUAGAAUGUGGGAGAGGUAGAUGGAAUUUCUGGUGUAGGGGUAAAAUCCGUAGAGAUCAGAAGGAAUACCGAUUGCGAAGGCGAUCUACUGGAACAUUAUUGACGCUGAGACGCGAAAGCGUGGGGAGCAAACA